CGAACGCUGGCGGCGUGCUUAACACAUGCAAGUCGAGCGAUGAAAUUCUCUUCGGAGAAUAGAUUAGCGGCGGACGGUGAGUAACACGUGGGUAACCUGCCUUAUAGGUGGGGAUACGCCUUCCGAAAGGACUGCUAAUACCGAAUGUUGUAUCUCCACCGCAUGGAAGAGAUAUUAAAGAUGGCCUCUACUUGUAAGCUAUCGCUUUGCGAUGGGUCUGCGUCUGAUUAGCUAGUUGGUGGGGCAACGGCCUACCAAGGCGACGAUCAGUAGCCGGUCUGAGAGGAUGAACGGCCACAUUGGAACUGAGACACGGUCCAGACUCCUACGGGAGGCAGCAGUGGGGAAUCUUCCGCAAUGGGCGAAAGCCUGACGGAGCAACGCCGCGUGAGUGAAGAAGGUCUUCGGAUCGUAAAGCUCUGUUGUCGGGGACGAAUGUUGAGACCUAGAACAUAGGUUUCAAAUGACGGUACCUGACGAGGAAGCCACGGCUAACUACGUG
This 502-nucleotide ribosomal RNA is filed under the name uncultured bacterium. Its description in RNAcentral is "bacterial SSU rRNA". It matches the Rfam family "Bacterial small subunit ribosomal RNA", at positions 30 to 507 of the family's 1533-position model. The record is from RNAcentral.